This 400-nucleotide ribosomal RNA is filed under the name uncultured bacterium. Its description in RNAcentral is "bacterial SSU rRNA". It matches the Rfam family "Bacterial small subunit ribosomal RNA", at positions 356 to 773 of the family's 1533-position model. The record is from RNAcentral.
CGUGAAUAGUCUACAAUGGCCGGAAGCCUGAUCCAGCGACGCCGCGUGGGUGAUGAAGGCCUUCGGGUUGUAAAGCCCUUUUCCCAGGGACGAUGAUGACGGUACCUGGGGAAUAAGCACCGGCUAACUCCGUGCCAGCAGCCGCGGUAAGACGGAGGGUGCUAGCGUUGUUCGGAAUUACUGGGCGUAAAGGGCGCGUAGGCGGCUUAUUAAGUCGGGUGUGAAAGCCCAGGGCUCAACCCUGGAACUGCAUCCGAGACUGGUAGGCUCGAGACCGGGAGAGGAGAGUGGAAUACCCAGUGUAGAGGUGAAAUUCGUAGAUAUUGGGUGGAACACCGGUGGCGAACGCGGCUCUCUGGCCCGGAUCUGACGCUGAGGCGCGAAAGCGUGGGGAGCAAAC